This 777-nucleotide ribosomal RNA is filed under the name uncultured Neocallimastigales. RNAcentral describes it as "partial large subunit ribosomal RNA". It matches the Rfam family "Eukaryotic large subunit ribosomal RNA", at positions 26 to 628 of the family's 3401-position model. The record is from RNAcentral. Lineage: Eukaryota; Fungi; Neocallimastigomycota; Neocallimastigomycetes; Neocallimastigales.
CGUCUAUAUACGUAUAGCAUAUCAAUAAGCGGAGGAAAAGAAACUAACUAGGAUUCCCUCAGUAACGGCGAGUGAAGCGGGAAGAGCUCAAAUUUGAAAUCUUCAAGGUUUUACCUUGACGAAUUGUAGUUUAAAGAAGUGUUUUCUGUUGGAGUUUUGGUAAAAGUUCUCUGGAAAUAGGACAUCAUAGAGGGUGAGAAUCCCGUAUUUGACCAUUAUUUCCAACUUUGUGAUACACUUUCAAAGAGUCGGAUUGUUUGGGAAUGCAGUCCAAAAUGGGUGGUAAAUUUCAUCUAAAGCUAAAUAUUGGCGAGAGACCGAUAGCGAACAAGUACCGUGAGGGAAAGAUGAAAAGAACUUUGAAAAGAGAGUUAAACAGUACGUGAAAUUGUCAAAAGGGAAGCGUUUGACACCAGUGUUGUUUUCUCGAAAAUCAAUUAAAAAAUGAUUGGAUUUUGUGUUGUAUUGACUUUAUCAGCUUUCUGCACUUUUUUCUUGUCUUUUUUAAUGCACUUUUCGUUUAACAAGUCAACAUCAAUUUCUUUUGCUGUAAAAGGGUCAUUGGAAGGUGGCUUUCUUUUCGGAGAAAGUGUUUAUAGCCUUUGACUUCUGCAAGUCGGAGAGAUUGAGGUCUGCAGCGUAGAUCCUUCGGGGUUAGAUACAUUUGUGCUAAGUUAUAGCCUUUCAUAGACAACUUGUUGACUAUGAUCAGUCAUGUAGCUUACUCGCUUAUGUCAUUUUACCUACGCUUAGGAUGUUGACGAUCAGCUGAGCGCG